Gorilla gorilla gorilla (western lowland gorilla) is the source of this 622-nucleotide long non-coding RNA. RefSeq lists it as uncharacterized. The record is from RefSeq and is a predicted model, not a curated record. NCBI's taxonomy places the organism in Eukaryota, Metazoa, Chordata, Mammalia, Primates, Hominidae. The transcript is spliced from 6 exons.
GUAAAUUUUAUAUGUAAGUGUUAUCAUUUUCAUUCAUAUUAAGAGUAGAUUGAAUAGGCAAGUGGACUUCACAUGUAAUCAUUGUUCACCUGAAAGCCUAUACAGUACUAUUUGAAGAACAGAGUUUCUAAUCAUUUUCCUGCUGCAUGGAAACAUUUGCUACUGUUGGACAUAUUACGUCUAAUAGCAGCAGAAACCUAAGAAAUAUGCAUGCAAAUGGAUUCUAAGUUUCUCAAUAUAAAGAUAACAGAGUACCUCAGAGGACCAGGACAAAUUUAUACACAAAAUAUUGAAAGUGGGAUAAAAACUUAAGAUGACUCAGUAUUCAACACAAUAAAAAUGAAGACAUAAAUCACUCCAUUAAGACCCAGAACAGGUGAAGUUUGGACUGAGGUCAUGAAUAAUAGAAGAAGAAAAAGAUUAUCAAGUCUGCCGUGAUGUCUAUCUACAUUUGGGCAAGAAUACAAAUGAAGGUUCACCUGAAAGUUAUGAAGGAGGCUAAGAAAUUGUUACAUGACACGGUCUACAGGAAGCCUGGCUGGGAUGCCUCAGAAAACUUACAAUCAUGGUGGAAGGAGAGAGAGAGAGAGAGUAAAGGGGGAAGCGCUACACACUUUCAAAC